This 112-nucleotide ribosomal RNA is filed under the name Schleiferia thermophila str. Yellowstone. The record is from RNAcentral. RNAcentral also lists the same sequence under 1 other name. Lineage: Bacteria; Pseudomonadati; Bacteroidota; Flavobacteriia; Flavobacteriales; Schleiferiaceae.
GAGGGUGGCUAUAGCGGUGGGGAUCACCUCUUCCCAUUCCGAACAGAGAAGUUAAGCCCACCAGCGCAGAUGGUACUGGCCCACAAGCCGGGAGAGUAUGUCGCUGCCCUCC